GAUGAACGCUGGCGGCGUGCUUAACACAUGCAAGUCGAACGGAACUACUCCAAUGAGAGUCUUCGGAAGGGAUGUGGUUUAGUGUAGUGGCGGAGGGGUGAGUAACGCGUGGGUAACCUGCCCUAUACAGGGGGAUAACAGUUGGAAACGACUGUUAAUACCGCAUAAGCGCACAGGAGCGCAUGCUCCGGUGUGAAAAACUCCGGUGGUAUAGGAUGGACCCGCGUCUGAUUAGCUGGUUGGCGGGGUAACGGCCCACCAAGGCGACGUUCAGUAGCCGGCCUGAGAGGCUGCACGGCCACAUUGGGACUGAGACACAGCCCAAACUCCUACGCGAGGCAGCAGUGGGGAAUAUUGCACAAUGGGGGAAACCCUGAUGCAGCGACGCCGCGUGAGCGAAGAAGUAUCUCGGUAUGUAAAGCUCUAUCAGCAGAGAAGAAAAUGACGGUACCUGACAAAGAAGCCCCGGCUAACUACGUG
RNAcentral lists this ribosomal RNA (480 nucleotides) under uncultured bacterium. Its description in RNAcentral is "partial 16S ribosomal RNA". It matches the Rfam family "Bacterial small subunit ribosomal RNA", at positions 28 to 507 of the family's 1533-position model. The record is from RNAcentral.